RNAcentral lists this long non-coding RNA (237 nucleotides) under Nicotiana benthamiana. RNAcentral describes it as "long non-coding RNA (NBEN_LNC016965)". The record is from RNAcentral. Lineage: Eukaryota; Viridiplantae; Streptophyta; Magnoliopsida; Solanales; Solanaceae.
AAAAGGUCGUAUUUUAUUUCAAGAGGAAUUAAUUGCUGCCUACAUGGAACAAGUUAAGCAAGACAUUCAGAGAUAGAUUACAACUGGAGAUGAUAUUUCAAUGGGAGAUAACAAUUUUGAAGACUCCCAAAGUAUCAAUAGUGUUAACUCUGAAGAAUUAGCUGAGAUUGUUAGAAAAGCAGAAGAAGAAGUUUUACAUCAAAAAUAAUGAGAUUCCUGACAAAAGAUGGUGGUGGG